This 429-nucleotide ribosomal RNA is filed under the name Gemmatimonadota bacterium. RNAcentral describes it as "Gemmatimonadetes bacterium partial 16S ribosomal RNA". It matches the Rfam family "Bacterial small subunit ribosomal RNA", at positions 355 to 776 of the family's 1533-position model. The record is from RNAcentral. Lineage: Bacteria; Pseudomonadati; Gemmatimonadota.
CAGGGAAUCUUCGGCAAUGGACGAAAGUCUGACCGAGCAACGCCGCGUGAGUGAAGAAGGUUUUCGGAUCGUAAAACUCUGUUGUUAGAGAAGAACAAGGACGUUAGUAACUGAACGUCCCCUGACGGUAUCUAACCAGAAAGCCACGGCUAACUACGUGCCAGCAGCCGCGGUAAUACGUAGGUGGCAAGCGUUGUCCGGAUUUAUUGGGCGUAAAGCGAGCGCAGGCGGUUUCUUCAGUCUGAUGUGAAAGCCCCCGGCUCAACCGGGGAGGGUCAUUGGAAACUGGGCGACUUGAGUGCAGAAGAGGAGAGUGGAAUUCCAUGUGUAGCGGUGAAAUGCGUAGUUAUAUGGAGGAACACCAGUGGCGAAGGCGGCUCUCUGGUCUGUAACUGACGCUGAGGCUCGAAAGCGUGGGGAGCAAACAGG